Molecule: ribosomal RNA, 485 nt
Filed under: uncultured bacterium
Lineage: Bacteria
Description: bacterial SSU rRNA
Rfam family: Bacterial small subunit ribosomal RNA
Source: RNAcentral
GACGAACGCUGGCGGCGUGCUUAACACAUGCAAGUCGAACGGUAAGGCCCAGCUUGCUGGGUACACGAGUGGCGAACGGGUGAGUAACACGUGGGUGAUCUGCCCUGCACUCUGGGAUAAGCCUGGGAAACUGGGUCUAAUACUGGAUAUGAGCUCCUGCUGCAUGGUGGGGGUUGGAAAGUUUUUUCGGUGCAGGAUGGGCCCGCGGCCUAUCAGUUUGUUGGUGGGGUAAUGGCCUACCAAGGCGAUGACGGGUAGCCGACCUGAGAGGGUGAUCGGCCACACUGGGACUGAGACACGGCCCAGACUCCUACGGGAGGCAGCAGUGGGGAAUAUUGCACAAUGGGCGGAAGCCUGAUGCAGCGACGCCGCGUGAGGGAUGACGGCCUUCGGGUUGUAAACCUCUUUCGCUAGGGACGAAGCGCAAGUGACGGUACCUAGAGAAGAAGCACCGGCCAACUACGUGCCAGCCGCCGCCGUAACAC